CACAUAGUGUUUCUCUGCCUGGUGGUAG
Molecule: unclassified non-coding RNA, 28 nt
Filed under: Mus musculus (house mouse)
Lineage: Eukaryota; Metazoa; Chordata; Mammalia; Rodentia; Muridae
Description: oocyte_clustered_small_RNA7999
Source: RNAcentral